AUCAUUUACUUUAAUUCAACAAUCUAUUAUCUUUGUUUAGUUGGUAAUUUGAUUCUUUGCAGCUUCUGCACUCCAACUUCAAGUGUAAAGGAGAGGAGAGCUAAGCAUUUGGAGGCAGAAAACGUCAGUAAUGGAGAGAAAAUAUGUUGGAGAGCAAUACGUUCAGCAGGAAGACAAAGUGCGGCAAAAUUAAGAAGGAAGUUAGAGAAUAUAUUUGAGAGAUGACAUUUACUGUGGAGCUGCUGCUUGCAAAACAUGCGACACUUGCACUUCACGUGCUCCUUUGGAUGCUGCUUCUCCCCUUCUUGUUCUUGAUACCAAUGUCAUCCUUCAACAGAUCGACUUGCCCGAGAAUCCUGCCAUCGACAAUGCCUACUGCUAUCGGUGGUGCUGAAUGAG
Molecule: long non-coding RNA, 399 nt
Organism: Hibiscus syriacus
Lineage: Eukaryota; Viridiplantae; Streptophyta; Magnoliopsida; Malvales; Malvaceae
Exons: 3
Source: RefSeq, a predicted model, not a curated record